AGUGGGACCGGCGGCUUAAGAGUGAAAAACAGGAAAAGGCUAAUCUCCCUUUUUGGCCCAGCCACCGUCGAUCCCUUACGCCAUGCUGCCCUUGGAAGCUGGUUUUGGUUUUUUUUUUUUGGGGGGGGCGUUGGACUAAAUGAGAGGUUCUUAAGUUUUGGCACUUUGGCGAAGGAAGAUAAGCAUAUUUUGAGAAAGUGAUGGAGUAAUGAAAAUUUCCCACAUGUUGGAAGCUGCUUGAAUAGAAUUAUGCCGGAAAAUACACUUGUGACAAAAGCUAGAAACCAGAUCUGAAAUGACAGUUUAAACCAGGACUAAAAGAACUCCUAGGGAAUGUUCGUUACCUAUGAUAUGACAGCAUGAUAUGGAGCUUCAGACUCUUUCCACAACCCUCCUGCUCUCUAAAGUCAUUUGUUCAAGUCAACACAUUUUUGGACACCGUGCUAGGCUUUGAGGAUACAAUGGCAAAAAUGUAAUGACCCUUGA
Phascolarctos cinereus (koala) is the source of this 486-nucleotide non-coding RNA. NCBI's taxonomy places the organism in Eukaryota, Metazoa, Chordata, Mammalia, Diprotodontia, Phascolarctidae. The record is from RefSeq and is a predicted model, not a curated record.